UGAAUGACCCAUUUACCUUUAUUUUUCUUUACAUUUUUUAAUGUUCAUUGAGUUUUUUUUAUAUUAUAAAAAAAUAAGGAGAUAAGAGGUAAAUAUUAAUUAAAAAAAGAAAUUAUUUGCAGAGCAAUGAAGGACCCCGCAAAGAAAUAAAAAUGUGCUUGCUGCUUGCAGAAAAUUCUUAGUCUCAGACGAGCAUUAACUUCUCAGUGCCUUCCUCGGACCACUGGCUCCCAAAUCCCAACUACUAUAAAAUAAUAUACAUUCAAGAGAACACUAAUUUAUCAUCCAUUCAUCCUUUCCAUCUUCAAUUAAUACUCGUCUAUUGAUAUUAAUUUCCUCUUCCUUUAUUUUUGGCAUAACGAAAAUGGGAUUGGGCUCUAAGAUUUUCCUUCUUUUAGGUCUUGUAAUCACUAUUGUUGUUCUUCUUACUUCUACGAAGGCGGCAGCUGCUAGAAACCUGGCUGAGGCUUCCACUGCAACGCGAAAAGGUUAGCGUCUUGGUUUCUGCAUUAAUUUGGGUCAUCUUAUAUAUAACAUAACAAUCAAAUUAAUUGCUAGUCCACCCCCUAAUCCAUUUCUCCCCACUUCAAAACUGUUUUCGUAGCCCAAACCAAGACAUCUCUUCUGCAUUUACUUAGGCUUCAGCUUUGUUUCACAAAGAAAUAAAAUAUGAGGCCUAUAUGAUUGGAGAAUUCUCUUGGCUUCACGGAACGUCGGGUCAUUUCCCAAGCCCCUGACGUUCCAGCUUAUGAUUUUCAUGGUUGUCGGCGGGGCUGAUAAUUAGCCUCCGCCGAUAUUUCUUCUACAUUUUCCACUGCCAUAUCAUUACUUCCAGCAUCUUGCUCUUCUUCUACCUCCCACCGGAGCAUCUGUUUUGCUUUUGGUGAGACAAUGGGUAACACAAGUGUCGGGCUACCUAUUUUUUUUUUUUUUUUUUCUCUGGGCUUGCCCAAUUCACCUCGCUGGCCAACCUCUUCAUAGAUGUAGGCACUUUUUUUAUCUCCACCACCUGCUCUCUACCCCUUGCUUGUAUCUUCAUUUUUUUCUUGGGCUUGAGGUUAUUUGCUACCAAUCUAUUUUUCCUCCCCACCUCUUCUAAUGUGGUUUGGGCUGUAUUAUCAGUUUGGCCCAAUUGGAGAAUUAUAUCUUGGGGAUUGCUUUGACCAACUCCAACUUCCCGCUCUUUUUCCCCCACCUGAUUUUUCCCAUUUUCCACUCCGAGUUUGGCAUUUAUUUUCUGAGACUCCCUCCAAAUUUCUCCUUCAUUUUGUUUUCCCGCUCUUAGGUCCUGUUCCCUAGAUGUCUGGACUUCCUUAGCUGUCUCCUUCUGAUGUUUGGAACUGCUUUCUUCAUACUUUGGCCUGUCACCAUCAGUCAUUAAUUGCUUCUCUGUACUCCCUGAUAAUCGGGCAAGACCCAUUUUCUUGACCCGCUUGAGCUCCAGUAACUUGCCUUCCCGUGUUUGUGGAAUUUUGGUUUUCUGGCUGUGUUUGGGAUUUAGGGCUUUGGUUUACAGCUGAAUUUUCUUUGCUUCUUCUUCUAAUUUGGUUUAACUUUUCUACCAUAGUCGGUGCUUUAAGCCAAGGGUCGUAAGAUAAAUCUUCCUUUGGUUGCUUCUCAUACCUUGUACACUCUCUGUAUUGAUGUCCAAUGCACCCACAACGGUAACAAAAGUCUGGCAGCCUUUCGUAUCUGAUCAACACUGGAAUAUCUUCUUCCUCAGUCAUAUCCUCUUGUCUAAUCUCCAGAAUCUUCAUUAGAGGCUUUGUGAUAUCGAUUGAUAUUCUAAGUCUGAUUACUUCCUCCAUACAAUCCCCAUUUGCAUCUGUUUCCACCUCCUCAACUUUACCGAUAGCUUCACCAAGUUCUAAAAUUGUCUCUCUGUCCAUACACAUAAUGGGCACGUUUUGAAGUUGUACCCAAAAUGAUACAUGGGUGAAUGACUGCUUUGCCAAAUAGCAAAGUGCCAUGGCCCUCCUGUUAUUGGCUUCUAUUUUUUUGUCCCAAAUUUAAACAUGAACACAUUAUCUCCCAGGCUUUCCACCUUCACUUCCCUUUUGUUUUGCCACGCCUGUUGUAAUGUUAUUUUGAGCCCUUCCUUGUUUACACUUUUGUUUGUCAAAACCUUCCCAACUAAAUAGCCAGCUACAAUCUGCUCCCCUUUAGAUUUCAUUUUGCUUUUAAAAGUGGCUUUGCCUUCCUCUACCCCUGAUAACUUGAUAGUUGUGCAUCUUCGUAUCAGCUCUUCUGUCUCCAUGGUCUUGUUACAAACACCUUAAAUGCACUAGUAAUAACUUCCACACCAACUUUGUUACAAAAGCACCCGACUAAAUGCUCUCAAAAACUACAACCAAGAAUAGAAAAAGUUGGGUCUGGAAGUAACUAAUCCAAAACAAUUUACUGAAACCCAACACGUGGGUAAGAAUAAAGGGUCCUCAUAACCCUAUCUAAAGCUUCCAUUCUAAGUUUUUCAGAGAAAAACCCAAGAAGGAAGAAAUUUGGUCUCUGAGAAUUUGAGCAAUCUAUGUCACUGCAAGUCAUUACUAAUAAAAAAAAUGAUUGAUUUUUAUUUUUUUCCACUAAACUAGGGAUAUUUAUUCAUUACCCCUGGCAUCUUAUGUUUUAUGUUUUCCUUUUAAUAGAAUUUUCUCAUUGCAUUUAGGUUUAUUUUUUUAAAAAAAAAAAGAUCUGACAUGUUGCUACACAUAUACGUGCAGCCGAGGCAACCGCAGAAGCAUUGAAGAUGCCUAAGAAAGCUCGUUCAGUUAGUAUGAUUUUUCCCGCGCCGUGCUACGGUGUUGGUUGCCCUUGAGUAAAUGUUGCUGCAAAGACAAAAUUGAUUCACCAUACACGUGUGUGUAUUCAAAUAAAUGGUUCUUAAAUUUAUGUGUUGUAAGAGAUUCUAUCUGAUGCAUGCUUCAUAUGAAUAAUGUUUAAAUAUGUUGUAGGAGGUUUAAUUUGUUAGGAAAGGACUACCACAAGCAGUUGCAAAUUAAGUGGAAACAAAGUAUUUCUCUCUUUGUAUAAUUAAAAUAGGAUGUGUACCACAAAUAAAUAGGAAGAAAAAUAAACCAAUAAAUUCAAAACAAAAACCAACCACGAGAGAUAUUUUUUCGUGGAAAAUUCAAGGCGAAAAAAAUCACGAG
This 3146-nucleotide long non-coding RNA is filed under the name Citrus maxima (pomelo). Its description in RNAcentral is "long non-coding RNA (CMAX_LNC002278)". Lineage: Eukaryota; Viridiplantae; Streptophyta; Magnoliopsida; Sapindales; Rutaceae. The record is from RNAcentral.